RNAcentral lists this ribosomal RNA (395 nucleotides) under uncultured archaeon. RNAcentral describes it as "bacterial SSU rRNA". It matches the Rfam family "Archaeal small subunit ribosomal RNA", at positions 131 to 509 of the family's 1478-position model. The record is from RNAcentral.
CCCGGGAAACUGGGGCUAAUACCCGAUGGGUGAGGAGGCCUGGAAUGGUUUCUCACCGAAAGGAUGUUGAAACACGCUUUCAACCUUGCCCGAGGAUGGGGCUGCGUCCGAUCAGGUUGUUGGUGGGGUAACGGCUCACCAAGCCUAUAACCGGUACGGGCCGUGAGAGCGGGAGCCCUGAGAUGGAAUCUGAAACAAAAUUCUAUGCCCUACGGGGCGCAGCAGUCGCUAAAACUCCACAAUGCACGAAAGUGUGAUGGGGCUACCCCUACUGCCGUCCGCUGACGAUGGCUUUUCUUCGAUGUAAUACCCUGCCCGCAAUUAAGGGAGGGCAAUAAUGGUGUCAGCCGUCGUAGUAAAACCAACUCCCUGAGUGGUAGGGAUGAUUAUUGGGC